RNAcentral lists this ribosomal RNA (466 nucleotides) under Vreelandella stevensii. Its description in RNAcentral is "partial 16S ribosomal RNA". It matches the Rfam family "Bacterial small subunit ribosomal RNA", at positions 338 to 795 of the family's 1533-position model. The record is from RNAcentral. Lineage: Bacteria; Pseudomonadati; Pseudomonadota; Gammaproteobacteria; Oceanospirillales; Halomonadaceae.
CCUACGGGUGGCAGCAGUGGGGAAUAUUGGACAAUGGGCGAAAGCCUGAUCCAGCCAUGCCGCGUGUGUGAAGAAGGCCUUCGGGUUGUAAAGCACUUUCAGUGGGGAAGAAAGCCUUGGGGCUAAUACCCUCGAGGAAGGACAUCACCCACAGAAGAAGCACCGGCUGAACUCCGUGCCAGCAGCCGCGGUAAUACGGAGGGUGCGAGCGUUAAUCGGAAUUACUGGGCGUAAAGCGCGCGUAUGCGGUCUGAUAAGCCGGUUGUGAAAGCCCCGGGCUCAACCUGGGAACGGCAUCCGGAACUGUCAGGCUAGAGUGCAGGAGAGGAAGGUAGAAUUCCCGGUGUAGCGGUGAAAUGCGUAGAGAUCGGGAGGAAUACCAGUGGCGAAGGCGGCCUUCUGGACUGACACUGACGCUGAGGUGCGAAAGCGUGGGUAGCAAACAGGAUUAGAUACCCGGGUAGUC